RNAcentral lists this ribosomal RNA (253 nucleotides) under uncultured bacterium. Its description in RNAcentral is "partial 16S ribosomal RNA". It matches the Rfam family "Bacterial small subunit ribosomal RNA", at positions 524 to 776 of the family's 1533-position model. The record is from RNAcentral.
UACGGAGGGCGCGAGCGUUAACCGGAAUUACUGGGCGUAAAGCGCGCGUAGGCUGUUGUGUAAGUUGGGGGUGAAAUCCCACGGCUCAACCGUGGAACAGCCCUUGAUACUGCGCGACUUGAAUCCGGGAGAGGGUGGCGGAAUUCCAGGUGUAGGAGUGAAAUCCGUAGAUAUCUGGAGGAACAUCAGUGGCGAAGGCGGCCACCUGGACCGGUAUUGACGCUGAGGCGCGAAAGCGUGGGGAGCAAACAGG